Molecule: long non-coding RNA, 1027 nt
Filed under: Scophthalmus maximus (turbot)
Lineage: Eukaryota; Metazoa; Chordata; Actinopteri; Pleuronectiformes; Scophthalmidae
Description: lncRNA (ENSSMAG00000024567.1)
Source: RNAcentral
GUGGGGCGACCUGUGAGGCGAACUGCAGCUAUCAAGAUGUUCUGAAUCACUUGAAGCUGACCAAAGACAUCAACCUGUUCCACAUGAUCCGGCCUGUUAGAGACCCCCGAUCCACCACAGAGGUUCACCUGAGUUUGCUGCUCUACGCCAUUCUUGAGGUGGUAAGUGGCUGCUUGGAAUGAUGAAUUAUAAACUAUUCAUUUCUACGUUUAAGUGGGUCACAUUGGUCCCCUUUGUUUUCUGUUUGUCUGUAUCUGGUGGAAAGUUAAGGCAAGGAGCAAAUAGCCCCGGUAAGCCUGGAUGUUUCUCUAGGUGUGGUGAGGAGUUUAGAGCGUUCAAAGUAUAAGGUCCCAGUUCUUCCUGCUUCGUAUGAACUUUUAGAAGUUUUCACACAUAUUUUGUUUUUCUCACAGAAAGAGAAGGACCAGAAAUUUGUACCUUACGUCUGGAUCACCAUGGUGAGUUCUCGCACCUUUUCACGAAUUUCCAACCCUCUCGCAAACUCACGCACAACUCCUCUGGUUUUCCUCUGCAGUGGUGGAAGAACGAUCACAUUGGUUGGAAUCCUGAUGAAUUUUGUGGGAUCCAGUCUGUGUCCAUCCCCAAUGAACUACUGUGGAAGCCCGAUCUCACCAUUGAGGAGAUGACGGAGAUUGACAAGGCCCCUCCUAGUCCUUAUCUCACCAUUACAAGUGAGGGUAACGUCACGCUUAUGAACGACCAGGUACUGACCAGCACCUGCAGGAUGCAAAUUUACAAAUUCCCCUUCGACACUCAGAGCUGCAACCUCACCAUCAAGUCCUUCAUUCACUCUGACAACGAAAUCAAGCUCCUCCAGUACUCCAACUCUUCGGAGGCCACGGAGGACUCUCGCGGGGUGAUGCGGAUCCAGUCCGAGUGGCUGUUCAUCAACAUGACAGUGACCAGCAUAACUGUCAACUACUAUAGCUUUAACCAGACGUUCGUCAUUUACACUGUAAGUGCUUCUGAAAGUUGCCUGGUUGUUAGACAUACAUUCACUGCAUAA